This 1229-nucleotide ribosomal RNA is filed under the name Acinetobacter soli. RNAcentral's name for it is "bacterial SSU rRNA". It matches the Rfam family "Bacterial small subunit ribosomal RNA", at positions 208 to 1429 of the family's 1533-position model. Lineage: Bacteria; Pseudomonadati; Pseudomonadota; Gammaproteobacteria; Moraxellales; Moraxellaceae. The record is from RNAcentral.
UGACCUUGCGCUAAUAGAUGAGCCUAAGUCGGAUUAGCUAGUUGGUGGGGUAAAGGCCUACCAAGGCGACGAUCUGUAGCGGGUCUGAGAGGAUGAUCCGCCACACUGGGACUGAGACACGGCCCAGACUCCUACGGGAGGCAGCAGUGGGGAAUAUUGGACAAUGGGGGGAACCCUGAUCCAGCCAUGCCGCGUGUGUGAAGAAGGCCUUUUGGUUGUAAAGCACUUUAAGCGAGGAGGAGGCUCUCUUGGUUAAUACCUGAGAAAAGUGGACGUUACUCGCAGAAUAAGCACCGGCUAACUCUGUGCCAGCAGCCGCGGUAAUACAGAGGGUGCGAGCGUUAAUCGGAUUUACUGGGCGUAAAGCGCGCGUAGGUGGCUAAUUAAGUCAAAUGUGAAAUCCCCGAGCUUAACUUGGGAAUUGCAUUCGAUACUGGUUAGCUAGAGUAUGGGAGAGGAUGGUAGAAUUCCAGGUGUAGCGGUGAAAUGCGUAGAGAUCUGGAGGAAUACCGAUGGCGAAGGCAGCCAUCUGGCCUAAUACUGACACUGAGGUGCGAAAGCAUGGGGAGCAAACAGGAUUAGAUACCCUGGUAGUCCAUGCCGUAAACGAUGUCUACUAGCCGUUGGGGGAUUUGAUCCUUUAGUGGCGCAGCUAACGCGAUAAGUAGACCGCCUGGGGAGUACGGUCGCAAGACUAAAACUCAAAUGAAUUGACGGGGGCCCGCACAAGCGGUGGAGCAUGUGGUUUAAUUCGAUGCAACGCGAAGAACCUUACCUGGCCUUGACAUAGUAGAAACUUUCCAGAGAUGGAAAGGUGCCUUCGGGAAUCUACAUACAGGUGCUGCAUGGCUGUCGUCAGCUCGUGUCGUGAGAUGUUGGGUUAAGUCCCGCAACGAGCGCAACCCUUUUCCUUACUUGCCAGCAUUUCGGAUGGGAACUUUAAGGAUACUGCCAGUGACAAACUGGAGGAAGGCGGGGACGACGUCAAGUCAUCAUGGCCCUUACGGCCAGGGCUACACACGUGCUACAAUGGUCGGUACAAAGGGUUGCUACACAGCGAUGUGAUGCUAAUCUCAAAAAGCCGAUCGUAGUCCGGAUCGCAGUCUGCAACUCGACUGCGUGAAGUCGGAAUCGCUAGUAAUCGCGGAUCAGAAUGCCGCGGUGAAUACGUUCCCGGGCCUUGUACACACCGCCCGUCACACCAUGGGAGUUUGUUGCACCAGAAGUAG